RNAcentral lists this unclassified non-coding RNA (249 nucleotides) under uncultured Dothideales. Its description in RNAcentral is "sequence contains 5.8S rRNA gene, ITS2, 28S rRNA gene". The stretch from base 1 to 52 matches the Rfam family "5.8S ribosomal RNA", at positions 103 to 154 of the family's 154-position model. The record is from RNAcentral. Lineage: Eukaryota; Fungi; Ascomycota; Dothideomycetes; Dothideales.
AACGCACAUUGCGCCCCUUGGUAUUCCGAGGGGCAUGCCUGUUCGAGCGUCAUUACACCACUCAAGCUAUGCUUGGUAUUGGGUGUCGUCCUUAGUUGGGCGCGCCUUAAAGACCUCGGCGAGGCCUCACCGGCUUUAGGCGUAGUAGAAUUUAUUCGAACGUCUGUCAAAGGAGAGGACUUCUGCCGAUCGAAACCUUUUAUUUUCUAGGUUGACCUCGGAUCAGGUAGGGAUACCCGCUGAACUUAA